GUGGGGAAUAUUGGACAAUGGGGGGAACCCUGAUCCAGCCAUGCCGCGUGUGUGAAGAAGGCCUUUUGGUUGUAAAGCACUUUAAGCGAGGAGGAGGCUACCGAGAUUAAUACUCUUGGAUAGUGGACGUUACUCGCAGAAUAAGCACCGGCUAACUCUGUGCCAGCAGCCGCGGUAAUACAGAGGGUGCAAGCGUUAAUCGGAUUUACUGGGCGUAAAGCGCGCGUAGGUGGCCAAUUAAGUCAAAUGUGAAAUCCCCGAUCUUAACUUUGGAAUUGCAUGCGAUACUGGUUGGCUAGAGUAUGGGAGAGGAUGGUAGAAUUCCAGGUGUAGCGGUGAAAUGCGUAGAGAUCUGGAGGAAUACCGAUGGCGAAGGCAGCCAUCUGGCCUAAUACUGACACUGAGGUGCGAAAGCAUGGGGAGCAAACAGGAUUAGAAACCCUUGUAGUCC
RNAcentral lists this ribosomal RNA (451 nucleotides) under uncultured bacterium. RNAcentral's name for it is "partial 16S ribosomal RNA". It matches the Rfam family "Bacterial small subunit ribosomal RNA", at positions 354 to 796 of the family's 1533-position model. The record is from RNAcentral.